This 450-nucleotide ribosomal RNA is filed under the name uncultured bacterium. Its description in RNAcentral is "partial 16S ribosomal RNA". It matches the Rfam family "Bacterial small subunit ribosomal RNA", at positions 354 to 796 of the family's 1533-position model. The record is from RNAcentral.
GUGGGGAAUAUUGGACAAUGGGCGAAAGCCUGAUCCAGCCAUGCCGCGUGUGUGAAGAAGGUCUUCGGAUUGUAAAGCACUUUAAGUUGGGAGGAAGGGCAGUAAGUUAAUACCUUGCUGUUUUGACGUUACCAACAGAAUAAGCACCGGCUAACUUCGUGCCAGCAGCCGCGGUAAUACAAAGGGUGCAAGCGUUAAUCGGAAUUACUGGGCGUAAAGCGCGCGUAGGUGGGUCAGCAAGUUGGAGGUGAAAUCCCCGGGCUCAACCUGGGAACUGCCUCCAAAACUGCAUGACUAGAGUACGGUAGAGGGUAGUGGAAUUUCCUGUGUAGCGGUGAAAUGCGUAGAUAUAGGAAGGAACACCAGUGGCGAAGGCGACUACCUGGACUGAUACUGACACUGAGGUGCGAAAGCGUGGGGAACAAACAGGAUUAGAUACCCUGGUAGUCC